GGGCGAUUAGCUCAGUUGGGAGAGCACCUGCCUUACAAGCAGGGGGUCACUGGUUCGAACCCGGUAUCGCCCA
Transfer RNA from Vibrio cholerae O1, 73 nucleotides. It matches the Rfam family "tRNA". Rfam says of the family: Transfer RNA (tRNA) molecules are approximately 80 nucleotides in length. Their secondary structure includes four short double-helical elements and three loops (D, anti-codon, and T loops). The record is from Rfam. Lineage: Bacteria; Pseudomonadati; Pseudomonadota; Gammaproteobacteria; Vibrionales; Vibrionaceae.